RNAcentral lists this unclassified non-coding RNA (410 nucleotides) under Hevea brasiliensis (rubber tree). The record is from RNAcentral. Lineage: Eukaryota; Viridiplantae; Streptophyta; Magnoliopsida; Malpighiales; Euphorbiaceae.
GCUGCAUCUUUAUCAAAGUAAAUACCAGUGAAACACCUUGUCAGUUCCUCUCCUGAUCUCAUUUUAUCUGAUAUUCUUCUACUUCUCAUAUACAAAUCCUCUGCUUCUAUAGCUGCAGCCAAUGUCCGAUGUACAACUAUAUCAGGAUAUCGACGCAAGGGUGAAGUAAAAUGUGUGUACAGAGGAACAGCCAGUGCAUAAUGACCCCAAUCAUUCAUCUUAUCUUUCAUAGCACCACUGCAAAAGUAGGUAGCCAGCUGCAUUGGUCUUGAAGCAUAAGACAUCAAAAUAUCAAACAGCACACUAUCAUCCUUCAGCUUUUCCCUGAUGUGUUGCAACGACCGAUUAAAGUUACCAGAAGAGGAAGUAUCCAAUUCUAGACCAUGCUUGCAACAAAAAGCUUCAAACUC